UAGAGUUUGAUCCUGGCUCAGAACGAACGCUGGCGGCGUGGCUAAGACAUGCAAGUCGAACGGACUGGUCAAUUUAUUGGACAGUUAGUGGCGAAAGGGUUAGUAACGGAUAGGUAACGUACCCUGUGCUUUGGGAUAGCGUCAUCCCGACUUCGGUCGGGAUUUCCGAAAGGGGCGGUAAUACCAAAUAAUAUCAUUUGUCGAUAGGCAGAUGAUCAAAGAUUUAUCGGCAUAGGAGCGGCCUGUCUCCUAUCAGCUUGUUGGUGAGGUAAAGGCUCACCAAGGCAACGACGGGUAGCGGGACUGAGAGGUUGGCCCGCAACAUCGGGACUGAGACACUGCCCGGACCUCCACGGAGGGCUGCAGUAACGAAUAUUGUGCAAUGGGCGAAAGCCUGACACAGCGACGCCGCGUGUAGGAUGAAGUCUUUCGGGAUGUAAACUACUGUCAGGGGGAAGAAAGUCUGUUUCGGCAGAUUGAUCUAUCCCGGAGGAAGUCACGGCUAACUUCGUGCCAGCAGCCGCGGUAAGACGAAGGUGGCAAGCGUUGUUCGGUAUUACUGGGCUUAAAGCGUGUGUAGGCGGAAAUGUAAGCGUUGUGUGAAAGCCCCCGGCUUAACCGGGGAACUGCGCAACGAACUGGUUUUCUUGAGGCAAGUAGGGGUGCAUGGAACUCUUGGUGGAGCGGUGGAAUGCGUAGAUAUCAAGAGGAACGCCAGCGGAGAAAUCGGUGCACUGGGCUUGUCCUGACGCUGAGACACGAAAGCGUGGGUAGCGAACGGGAUUAGAUACCCCGGUAGUCCACGCCGUAAACGAUGCCUACUAGGUUGUGAAAGUUCUGACACUGGCACAGCCGAAGCAAAAGUGUUAAGUAGGCCGCCUGGGGAGUACGGUCGCAAGGCUAAAACUCAAAGGAAUUGACGGGGGCUCACACAAGCGGUGGAGCAUGUGGAUCAAUUCGAAUCAACGCGUAGAACCUUACCUGGGUUUGACAUGUUUGGAUGCCUCCUCCGAAAGGGGGAGUCGGCUGCCUUAGGGUGAAACUUACACAGGUGCUGCAUGGCGGUUGUCGUCAGCUCGUGUCGUGAGAUGUUGGGUUAAGUCCCGCAACGAGCGCAACCCCUAUCUUUAGUUGCUAACAUUAAGUUGAGGACUCUAGAGAGACUGCCAGUGGUAAACUGGAGGAAGGUGGGGAUGACGUCAAAUCAUCAUGCCCCUUAUGACCUGGGCUACACACGUGCUACAAUGGCUGUUACAAAGGGAAGCGAAGUCGCGAGGCGGAGCAAACCCCAAAAAGGCAGUCUCGGUUCGGAUUGUAGUCUGCAACUCGACUACAUGAAGUUGGAAUCGCUAGUAAUCGCGAAUCAGAACGUCGCGGUGAAUACGUUCUCGGGUCUUGUACACACCGCCCGUCACACCACGAGAGUUUGUAACACCCGAAGUUACUAGGCUAACCCCGUAAGGGGAGGCAGGUACCGAAGGUAUGGCUGGUGAUUGGGGUGAAGUCGUAACAAGGUAACCA
Molecule: ribosomal RNA, 1521 nt
Filed under: uncultured prokaryote
Description: partial 16S ribosomal RNA
Rfam family: Bacterial small subunit ribosomal RNA
Source: RNAcentral